AAAUUGAAGAGUUUGAUCAUGGCUCAGAUUGAACGCUGGCGGCAGGCCUAACACAUGCAAGUCGAACGGUAACAGGAAGCAGCUUGCUGUUUUGCUGACGAGUGGCGGACGGGUGAGUAAUGUCUGGGAAACUGCCUGAUGGAGGGGGAUAACUACUGGAAACGGUGGCUAAUACCGCAUAACGUCGCAAGACCAAAGAGGGGGACCUUCGGGCCUCUUGCCAUCAGAUGUGCCCAGAUGGGAUUAGCUUGUUGGUGAGGUAACGGCUCACCAAGGCGACGAUCCCUAGCUGGUCUGAGAGGAUGACCAGCCACACUGGAACUGAGACACGGUCCAGACUCCUACGGGAGGCAGCAGUGGGGAAUAUUGCACAAUGGGCGCAAGCCUGAUGCAGCCAUGCCGCGUGUAUGAAGAAGGCCUUCGGGUUGUAAAGUACUUUCAGCGGGGAGGAAGGUGUUGUGGUUAAUAACC
RNAcentral lists this ribosomal RNA (471 nucleotides) under Salmonella enterica. Its description in RNAcentral is "bacterial SSU rRNA". It matches the Rfam family "Bacterial small subunit ribosomal RNA", at positions 1 to 468 of the family's 1533-position model. Lineage: Bacteria; Pseudomonadati; Pseudomonadota; Gammaproteobacteria; Enterobacterales; Enterobacteriaceae. The record is from RNAcentral.